Molecule: long non-coding RNA, 4109 nt
Filed under: Homo sapiens (human)
Lineage: Eukaryota; Metazoa; Chordata; Mammalia; Primates; Hominidae
Description: HSALNT0320065
Source: RNAcentral
AACCCAAAGUUAGGGGCAGUCCAAAUCUGGGAAUAAUGUCUCUUAACAAUACCUUCAUCAACUCUCAUGCCUUCUCUGUCCUGACGGAGAAGGCCAUGACCCAUCCUGAAAAGGUACAGACAAGCACCAAAAUGUACCUAUAGACCCCUGCUUGGGGCAAUUCGGAGAAGUCCAUAAGCAGGUUUUCACAGGGCAUAGCUCCUUUUUCCUGAAUUCCCGGGGGCUGAGUGGGCCCUUUUCAGGGGUUGUUUUGGGCACAAGUUAAACGCUGUUUACAAAUGGCUCAAGUAAUAGCGGUGAGCCAUUGCACAUAGAAAUGACACCCUAAUCAUGUCUCUAGCACCGUUUUUCUCAUGUGAGUUCCUUGGAACUGUUUUGCAAAUCUGGGGGCCAAGAUUUCAGGUAUGGCUAGCCUCCCAUUGGAGAAUUUCCACCAUCUUCCUUCAACGUAAUUCCCAUUUUCCUGGGCAAAUCAAGCCCUUUUAUUUGGAGUGUAGCUUGGGGUCCCUGGAAGGGGAAUCUCCAGGAGGAGAGGCAUAGCUAAGGCUUCUUCUUUAGAAUAGAAGGUGGAGUUGCCAUUGCAGCUUGCUUUGCCUCUUUGUCUGCCUUUCUGUUUCCUUUAGCCUCUAAUGUUCCUGCCUUUUGCCUACAGUGCAUUACUGCUACCUGUUUGGGGGCCCAUACCACAUCCAGGAGCCGUAGAAUUUCUUCAUUACACUUUAUUUCUUUACCUCCAGGAGUUAAGAGUCUUUUUUCUUUGUAAAUAGCCCCAUGAACAUGCAAAGUGGCAAAAGCAUAUUUAGAGUCUGUGUAAAUAUUUGCCUUCUGGUCUUUUGCUAGCCAGAGAGCUCUUAUAAGACCUAUCAGCUUUGCUUUCUGAGAGGCAGUUCCUGUAGACAAAGACUGUGCCUCUACUGCUGAGUCCAAAGUCACCACUGCAUACCCAGUUUGGUGGACUCCCUCUAGUAUGAAGCUGCUCCCAUCAGUAAAAUAUUCAAUGUCCAGGUCUCCGAGGGGCCGAUCUGUCAGAUCUCUCUGGCUUGAGAACACUUCAUCUACCACAUCCACUCAGCAAUGAAGGGGGCUUCCUGGCACUGAUUCAAUGGGGAGCAAGGUAGCUGGGUUUAGGGUACUCACAGUCUCUAAAGUUACACAGGGAUUAUCACAUAGGAGCCCUUGGUAUUGAGUUAUUCUCGGAUUCGAAAACCAAUGGUGCCCCCUUUGGUCCAUCAAAGUUAUAACUGAGUGCAGUAGCUGGAUUGUCACUUGCUGUCCUAAAGUCAGCUUAUUAGCUUCCUGUGCCAGCCGAGCAGUGAUAGCUAGUGUCUUAAAACAAAGACUCCAUCCAGGUGCCACAGAAUUCAAUUGCCUGGAUAGGUAUGCCACCGGGUGAUGCCACAAUCCUAUGGCUUGAGUUAGAACUCUUACGGCCAUUCCCUUUUGCUCAUGGACAUAUAAAAAGAAAGGCUUAGUUAGAUCUGGCAGUCCUAAAGUUGGGGCCUGAGUCAAGGCUUCUUUGAUUUCCUUAAAGGCCUUCUCCUGGUCAGCCUCCCAGAGGAGGAGCUCCUUUUUCCCCUCUUUGUGGCUUCAUAUAAUGGCUUAGCCAUGAGCGAGAAAUUUGGGAUCCAGAUGCAGCAGGACCCUGCUGGCCCUAGGAACUCUCUUGUCACCGGGUGGUUGGAGUAGGAAGUGUACAAAUGGUCUGCUUCUGUUCACUACCAAGCCAUCUUUUCCUUUGGCUUAUAUAGAAGCCUAAAUACUGGUCACUUUCAGAGCAGAUUUGAGACUUGUUCCCUGACACUUUAUAUCCUGCCUUCCAUAGCAAGUGCAGGAGGUCUUGGGUCCCCUCGAAGCAGUCCUCUCAGGUCGGGGCUGCUAGAAGAAGAUCAUCAAUGUACUGGAGCAAGACACAGUCACUGUUUGGUGGGGUGUAUGCUUUAAGGUCUGAGGCCUGUGCCUCUUCAAAGAUUGUAGGAGAGUUUUUAAAUCCUUGUGGGAGUCUUGUCCAAGUGUACUGUGAUUUACCCCAUUGAAAAGCAAAAAUAGGCUCAUUAAUUGGUGCAAGCCAGAGACGGAAAAAUGUAUCCUUUAAAUCUAGGACUGUAAAUCAAGUGGCACUUGCUGGAAUAUGUCCCAUUAAAGUAUAUGGGUUUGGCACCACUGGGUGGAUGGUCACCGUGGCCUAGUUUUCCACACACAAAUUCUGUACUGGUCUAUAUUCACCAGACGGCUUCCGCACUGGCAAGAGAGGGGUGUUCCAUGGUGACUGGCAUUUGACUAUGAUUCCAUGUUUAUGAAGACUCUAAAUAUUUGCGGACACCCAGUAUGGCCUCAGGGAGUAGCAGGUACUGUUGGACCUGAACUGGAUUUUAACUCUACCACCACUGGUGCCUGACUUACAGCCAGUCCAGGUGGGUUACUAUCAGCCCAAACUCUGGGAAUUUUAGUAAGCAACCCAGGCAUUUCAUUUACUCUUGGUUCCAGAGUCUUUUUUGCAUAUAGCCUCUAUUCUUCAGCCUAUGGUACAGUACGGGUUAACAUCAUAGCCUCCGGGUGAGGUAGAUUUAAAGUUACAUUCCCUUGUGGCCCAAAUGUAAUCUGUACCUGCAGUUUUUGAAGUAGGUCUCUUCCCAGCAAAGGAACAGAACCAUUUGGGAUGAGAAUUCAGGUUGGACUUCUCAUCCUCCUAUAACACACCUCUUUGACCAACCGAUGGGCCUCUUUUCAGAGACUCCAGUGGCUCCCACAAUAGUUGCACAGUUCUUGGAUAGUGGCCCUAUAGGUUGGGUCACUACUGAGUGUUUAGCUCUGGUGUCUACCAUAAAGUCCAUUAGCUGGCCUCUAACUUCCAAUCUGGCCAUGGGCUUCUCAGGGCCCAAAGAGAAGCAGCCUGGUCUGUCCUAGUCCUCAUAUCCUUCAGCCCCUGCCAGUCUGAUCAGAUCAGUGCCUGGUUUCUCCUGGGUGUGGCAGCCCCUGGCUGGUGGCCUUCCUGUACGAUGGCCCUGACCCUUCUCCUUAUUAUUAUUCUCUGGACACUCAUCCUUCCAGUGUCCUUGUCUUUUGCACUGUGCACACUGAUCUCUUUCCAACCUGGGCCUGCUCUCAAAUCCCUGUCCAUACUGGCUUCUUCCAUGCCCACUUCCAUGCCCACAUCACGCCACCUUGCAAAGCCAGCUUCCCUCCCUGUGAGAGCUGCUGCCAGCCAAUCAGCCUUUUUCUUAAGCCUUUGAUUAGCCUCUGUCUUUGCCUCCUGAUCUCCGUUAAUGUACAACUUGUGGCCACUUCAAUAAACUGAAUAGCAUUCAUGCCUGCAAAACCUUCCAUUUUCUGCAAUUUUUGCCUGAUAUCCCCCUGGGCCUGCUCUACAAAUGCCGUGUUCAGCAUGUGCUGGCCUCACUAAGUCUUUUAUAAAACUGGCUGGGGCUUUCAUAUGCACCCUGAAGCACCUAUGAGAUUUUUCCCUAUAUUGAUUGCCUUUCUCCCGCCUUCCCUUAAACUUUGCAGGAGUGCCUUUUGGUAUCUGGGCAGCUGCUGUAGUUGGGCUGCCUCAUUUGGGUCCUAGUCGGGGUCCUCUUGUUUCCCAGAAAGGCAUUUGCAUAGCCCAAACAUGACCUGACUGGAGACAAGUUUGCUUUAUUUUCCUAGCAUUUCACCUUAACUUCCUGGAGUGAGGGCUCAGAUUUUUCCAUCUCAGAUUGAUAGUGAUUUAUAUAGUACACUUGUGCUGAAGCACUUUGGUGAACUAAGGUAGCGAUGAAGCUUUUUAUCAUUUGAAGAAGUACAGGUAGGAAACAAAGGAGCGCAACCCCAUGAGGUUGAUAAUACUAUGACCACCAAUGCCAUUUCAUUGGUGAGGAAGUUGAAGCAAAUAAAGUCCAAGUAACUUGUCCAACCCCACAUCAUUAUGUAGUGGUUUCUCAGAGACUUGAAUGAAGGGCAUCUGGAUCCAGAGUGCCAGCUCUUAACCACCAUGUUAUGCUGAGUCUUCUAUUUGAGCAAUGGAAUAAACUGUUCUCUGCAAUGACUACACUCACAUUUGUUGGAGCUAUGUGUGUUCAUUGACUGGAGCCAACUGUUGUGAAAUGGGUUGAAUUCUUGAUUUGAUUCUU